This 74-nucleotide transfer RNA is filed under the name [Clostridium] symbiosum. RNAcentral describes it as "tRNA-Pro". It matches the Rfam family "tRNA". Rfam says of the family: Transfer RNA (tRNA) molecules are approximately 80 nucleotides in length. Their secondary structure includes four short double-helical elements and three loops (D, anti-codon, and T loops). The record is from RNAcentral. Lineage: Bacteria; Bacillati; Bacillota; Clostridia; Lachnospirales; Lachnospiraceae. RNAcentral also lists the same sequence under 4 other names.
GGGGUGUGGCUCAGCUUGGCUAGAGCGCCUGGUUUGGGACCAGGAGGUCGCAGGUUCGAAUCCUGUCACCCCGA